RNAcentral lists this transfer RNA (74 nucleotides) under Coscinodiscus granii. RNAcentral describes it as "tRNA-Arg". It matches the Rfam family "tRNA". From Rfam's summary of the family: Transfer RNA (tRNA) molecules are approximately 80 nucleotides in length. Their secondary structure includes four short double-helical elements and three loops (D, anti-codon, and T loops). Further hydrogen bonds mediate the characteristic L-shaped molecular structure. tRNAs have two regions of fundamental functional importance: the anti-codon, which is responsible for specific mRNA codon recognition, and the 3' end, to which the tRNAs corresponding amino acid is attached (by aminoacyl-tRNA synthetases). tRNAs cope with the degeneracy of the genetic code in two manners: having more than one tRNA (with a specific anti-codon) for a particular amino acid; and 'wobble' base-pairing, i.e. permitting non-standard base-pairing at the 3rd anti-codon position. Lineage: Eukaryota; Bacillariophyta; Coscinodiscophyceae; Coscinodiscales; Coscinodiscaceae. The record is from RNAcentral.
ACAUUUUUAGCUCAGAUGGAUAGAGCACUAGCCUUCUAAGCUAUUGGUCAUAGGUUCAAAUCCUAUAAAAUGUA